This 497-nucleotide ribosomal RNA is filed under the name uncultured bacterium. RNAcentral describes it as "partial 16S ribosomal RNA". It matches the Rfam family "Bacterial small subunit ribosomal RNA", at positions 28 to 507 of the family's 1533-position model. The record is from RNAcentral.
GAUGAACGCUGGCGGCGUGCCUAAUACAUGCAAGUCGAACGCACAGCGAAAGGUGCUUGCACCUUUCAAGUGAGUGGCGAACGGGUGAGUAACACGUGGACAACCUGCCUCAAGGCUGGGGAUAACAUUUGGAAACAGAUGCUAAUACCGAAUAAAACUUAGUGUCGCAUGACACAAAGUUAAAAGGCGCUUCGGCGUCACCUAGAGAUGGAUCCGCGGUGCAUUAGUUAGUUGGUGGGGUAAAGGCCUACCAAGACAAUGAUGCAUAGCCGAGUUGAGAGACUGAUCGGCCACAUUGGAACUGAGACACGGCCCAAACUCCUACGGGAGGCUGCAGUAGGGAAUCUUCCACAAUGGGCGAAAGCCUGAUGGAGCAACGCCGCGUGUGUGAUGAAGGCUUUCGGGUCGUAAAGCACUGUUGUAUGGGAAGAACAGCUAGAAUAGGAAAUGAUUUUAGUUUGACGGUACCAUACCAGAAAGGGACGGCUAAAUACGUG